This is a long non-coding RNA of Sorex araneus (European shrew), 690 nucleotides long. RefSeq lists it as uncharacterized. The record is from RefSeq and is a predicted model, not a curated record. The transcript has 4 exons. Lineage: Eukaryota; Metazoa; Chordata; Mammalia; Eulipotyphla; Soricidae.
GUAAAAUAUUACAAACAAAGCCCUCUUGAUGAGCAACACGUCUUCCAGCUACCCGUCAGACCAACCGCCGUGAAGGAUUUGUACCAGAGUGAGAAGCCACAGAAGUGGAGAGUGGAAAUAAAUAGUGGUCACAAGAAGGUGAAAACUGUGUGGCAGCUGAGUGACAGCCCUCCUGGGGACCAUCUGAACCCCUCCAAAGUCGAUUUUUCUGAGCUAACAUUCAAUGCCAGCCUGGAAGAAAAGACAUGCUUCACCACCAUAAUCACCUGCAGCCACGUGCAUUUCAAGUGAAGUGUGUGGACGGGGCUUGCUCAAGGAGGAGCAUCAGGAGAACUGCAGCGAGCAGGACACAGAGGGCGAAGACGGUCGGGACCACGAUCUCAGUCACCAUCCGCAUGGGGCCCCGCACAGCUUCUGAAAGGGAAGAAGGCCAGAGCAGAGUGUCACUGCAUUGCUUCAUCUGGCAAGCCUGACUGCCUGGGAAACUCAGAAGGCCACCCCUAAACUCUCCGCUUGGUCUUGUCUGCCAUGAAAGGACUUGUCUGCCUGGGGGAUUUAAUCUCACAAAAAGUUGUGUGAGGACUUUGUAAACAUUUCUGGAGAUAAUGGGAUAAAGGAUGCCUAAACAGUUCUUCCUUUGAUUCUGCACUAUAAAGUCUAAUGCAUGCAGAUUAGCAUUUGUGUUGAUUG